ACCAGACCAAGAAUUGGCUCUGAUUUUCUGGGUCAGUGGUAUUCUCUGUGUUCUGUAGAGUAUGUUGUGUUGUUGUGGGUUCGGAUCCCAGGUCUGUUGUGGCAGGAUGACCUGUGAUAUACACCACAUUAGUUUAUGUUACUGUAGUACCUUAACCACCAUGUAAAGCACUGAACAGUUGUCUGGCUAGCUUUAUAUGUCACAAACAUGAACAUCUCAUCAACAAUUCCAUGAUCAGCUUGAUUCACCUGCUAAAUGUUCCUAGCAGCCAACAGUAUUUUUCUUUUUCAUGGUUGCCAAAUUCUGAACUCUCAAGCCAUCUCAGCUGCCAUUCAAUACACAUGCAGUAUUUUCAGCGAAAGGCCAUCCCAACAAUACACUCCCAGCUGGCUGUGAGAGCUAAGCGCUAUAAGUAUGGGGAAACAGAUUACAGCUCUGUUUAUAGUUAAAGUGUUUGUGUUAUUCCCCAUCCUACCAGUCCCCUAUAUCUACCAAGCCACUGACACUAUCAGGUCGCUGCAAUGCAUGUGUUUAUUCCCAGCUCCCUCUCUUUUAUCAAUCUCUCCUCUAAAAUGUUUAAGAGAGAAAAUCAAAACUUCUCCCUUUGAAUUUAAUUAAUUGCUUUUAUCGUUUGAAUUAGGAAUUCAGUAGCAUUCACUAGGCACCAAGGAGGGGUACAGUCCGGAGAGGCAGAGGGAGUGAGGGAUACAGUACGGAGAGGCAGAGGGAGUGAGGGAUACAGUACGGAGAGGCAGAGGGAGUGAGGGGUACAGUCCGGAGAGGCACUGGGGAGGGAGGGGUACAGUACGGAGAGGCAGAGGGAGUGAGGGGUACAGUACAGAGAGGCAGAGGGAGUGAGGGAUACAGUACGGAGAGGCAGAGGGAGUGAGGGGUACAGUACGGAGAGGCAGAGGGAGUGAGGGGUACAGUACGGAGUGGCAGAGGGAGUGAGGGAUACAGUACGGAGAGGCAGAGGGAGUGAGGGGUACAGUACGGAGUGGCAGAGGGAGUGAGGGAUACAGUACAGAGAGGCAGAGGGAGUGAGGGAUACAGUACGGAGAGGCAGAGGGAGUGAGGGGUACAGUACGGAGAGGAAGAGGGAGUGAGGGCUACAGUACGGAGAGGCACUGGGGAGUGAGGGGUACAGUACGGAGAGGCACUGGGGAGUGAGGGGUACAGUCCGGAGAGGAAGAGGGAGUGAGGGGUACAGUACGGAGAGGAAGAGGGAGUGAGGGCUACAGUACGGAGAGGCACUGGGGAGUGAGGUGUACAGUCCGGAGAGGCAGAGGGAGUGAGGGGUACAGUACGGAGAGGAAGAGGGAGUGAGGGGUACAGUACGGAGAGGCAGAGGGAGUGAGGGAUAAAGUACGGAGAGGCAGAGGGCGUGAGGGGUACAGUCCGGAGAGGCACUGGGGAGUGAGGUGUACAGUACGGAGAGGCAGAGGGAGUGAGGUGUACAGUACGGAGAGGCAGAGAGUGAGGGGUACAGUACAGAGAGGCAGAGGGAGUGAGGGGUACAGUACGGAGCAGCAAAGGGAGUGAGGGGAACAGUCCGGAGAGGCAGAGGGAGUGAGGGGUACAGUACGGAGAGACACUGGGAGUGAGGGGUACAGUACGGAGAGGCACUGGGAGUGAGGGGUACAGUAUAGAGAGACACUGGGAGUGAGGGAUACAGUACGGAGAGACACUGGGAGUGAGGGGUACAGUACAGAGAGACACUGGGAGUGAGGGGUACAGUAUAGAGAGGCACUGGGAGUGAGGUGUACAGUACAGAGAGACACUGGGAGUGAGGGGUACAGUACAGAGAGACACUGGGAGUGAGGGGUACGUUACGGAGAGACACUGGGAGUGAGGGGUACAGUACAGAGAAGCACUGGGAGGGAGGGGUACAGUACAGAGAAGCACUGGGAGUGAGGGGUACAUUACGGAUAUGGUGACUGCAGUUUGUGACUCUGGGUUCCUAUUUGUAUGCAGAGAGUCUUGGCAUAUGAAAGUGUCCAGUAUCUUGUGUCCAUAAAAGCCAGAACCAGUCCUGUGGGUGACCAUUAAUGAGAAUCUAUGUACUGGGCCUUAUUAAAUGUUAAUGACACCUGCCUGCCUGCCUGCUGGCCUGGCUGGAUACCUGAAAUGAUCCCUACCAAUCAUCUACACAGGGAAUGUCAAAUUGCCCGGAAUAGAGGCCCAUAUGGAUUCAGAUGGAUAUAGAUUCUCAUAUACAGUAUAAUUAUCAAACUACUGGAUCAGAAUGAUUCUGUACAAGGAGUAACUACUUCGGUAGCAGUUUAUUUAUAGAGUAAUGACCUAUUAAUUACUUGUGUGUUUCUUUGGGAUUCAUUCAGUCAAGCACAACUGGGGACCAUUUGGUACCAGGUAGUUACCAAUUGUGUGGUGUUGUUUGAAGUAUGUACAAGGAAGUACCAUUUGUUACUACAUAAUUUUCUGAUAAAUACUUGUGGAAGCAGUAUUGUAAAAUAUAGUGCUGCAAUCACUGUUUCAGUAGGAUCAUACACUACCGUUCAGAAGUUUAGGGUCACUUAGAAAUGUCCUUGUUUUUGACAGAAAAGCAAUUUUUUUUGUCCAUUAAAAUAGAAUCAAAUUGAUCAGAAAUACAGUGUAGACAUUGAUAAUGUUGUAAAUGACUAUUGUAGCUGGAAACGGCAGAUUUUUUAUGGAAUAUCUACAUAGGCGCAGAGGCCCAUUAUCAGCAACCAUCACUCCUGUGUUCCAGUGGCACGUUGUGUUAGCUAAUCCAAGUUUAUCAUUUUAAAAGGCUAAUUGAUCAUUAGAAAACCCUUCUGCAAUUAUGUUAGCACAGCUGUUGUUCUGAUUGAAGAUGAAAUACAACUGGCCUUCUUUAGACUAGUUGAGUAUCUGGAGCAUCAGCAUUUGUGAGUUCGAUUACAGGCUCAAAAUGGCCAGAAACAACUAACUUGCAACAGGGUGAUCAAAUGAAGAUCCUACAUCUGUAUAAAGUCUCAUUACAGAAUGGUAAUGAGGCGUGUUAUAAAUAAUGGAAGAUGUUACUUUGUACUGUUAUAUGAAAUUCCCUGUAGGUUGGCCAAUUUUAUCACCUCUACUUCCCUUUAUGUAUCUCCAACAGUGAUGAAUAAAACAUUCACCAAUGUCUUUGUCUCUAAAUCCACAGUACAGACUUGUGGUUUGUUGCAAAUAAAUGUAUGCCAGCUUUCUGUAGACAAUUAAAAGAAAAGAGUGUGUUAAUGAAAAGUAGCAUACAGGGAGACUGUGUGGGCUGCCGUUAUAUACUGUGUGCUACUACGAAGAUACCUUAGCAUGGGUGUUUAGCAUGAACAAGCUGACAAUUGCAGUACUCAUGGGUGUGUUAAUUAGUGCACACCGUAGCAACAUGUUUUGCAGUGAAUAUGAGCAUUUCUUAUUGGACAGGUUCAGGUUAGUCCUCACUGUUUUGUCUCGUUUGCUACCGUUUGGUUCAGAGUGAAUAAACCCCUGGUUAUACCUCACAAGGUGUACCUUUGUACAAUAAUUGAAAAGACGGAAUAUGAGUGUGUUUGUUUCCAUGGAAACAUCACAAUCUAUGAGAGGCUCUGGUCCUCAUGCCUCUUCUAUGUUACCUGGUCAGACUGUAUGAUGUAUAUCACGUCAGGCUGUAAACUAGAAGCUAUGAGCUUUUAUUAUCGUGCGUGCGUGCGUGCGUGCGUGCAAGAGGGAGAGAGAGAAAGAGAGCAAGUGCGAGAGAGAGCGAGAAGGUCAUCUUAAGGGAAUCUUCCCCAAAAUCCUUUGAAAAGUCACCAUAUUAUAGUCCAAUUUAAAUGUAGGACUAUUACCAAUGUAGGACAAUUACUAUUACUUGUGAACCACAGCCUUGGAAUCAAAUAGAUUAUAGAUUUUUUUUUAAAUGACCCAAACACAUUUUGAUCAAGUAGACUUUUGAAGAUGCUAUCAUGAUGUUUGUGGUCAACUCAACCUUUUCAAUUGUACAUAACUACAUUAAAACAUGCAGGGAAAAAUCCAAUGGUUGAUCAUUCACAUGCACCUAUCCAUGACAUGGCUUUCUUCCAUUAUGAUCUGGGGAUUUCUCUCUCCACUGGCAGUAGGAUUCUUUUACAUCUUCUGAGUAUUCCUUUGGUCAUGGUCAGCGAACAGGCCUCUGGAUUACUACAUUUCCUCCUCCAUCAUCUCCAAAGGUUUGGGAGGGUGGAGGGUUGUAGAGCAACAUCUGAGAACUUUAUGUAUGUAGAUACGUAUGUCAACCCAAGCCAACCCAAUAGAAGAGGCUCAACAUUCUGCCAUUCAGCAGGUAAGCAUCAGUUCAUGGCAUGGCAGCAGCUUGCUCUUUAGGGUGUGGGAUUCCAUCACCCUAAGUGCUGCGCUCAGGUCAGUUCUGCUUUUUACUCCCAAGUUGUUCAAGACAGAAUCAGACAGGGGAUAAGCUGACCCUAGCUCAGCACUUAGUAGCAACUUGUACCUCUAGCGCUCCCUGGCAUCUGUCACGUUCGUCAUAAUAAUGAUCGGACUAAGGCGCAGCGUGAGUAUCGUUCCACAUAAUUUAUUAGAAAGUGAAACUUUUGAAAAAUACAAAACAAAUAAAGAAUAAACGAACCGUGACUACAAUGCAACUACACAUAAACAAUAUCCCAUAAUCCCCAAGUGAAAAACAAGCUACUUAAGUAUGAUCCCCAAUUAGAGACAACAAUUACCAGCUGCCUCUAAUUGGGAAUCAUACCAAAUUAACCAAACAUAGAAAAACUAAACUAGAACCCCACAUAGAAAAUAAUAACUAGGAAAACCCCCCUGACCUACUCUAACAUAGAAAAUAAGAGCUUUCUAUGGUCAGGACGUGACAGCAUCAAAGUGGAUGGUGAUUGAUGGCUGCGACAGUGUGGGCCAAGAGGUGUAUUUGUAUGGGUUCAAAGUGGUACAUGUAUGACAUUUUUCCUUUUCAAGACUGGGAUGAAAGCAACGUUCUUCGACAUAGGCAACCCAUGUUUUGUGCUUGGCUGGUGGAAUAGGCCUUUAUACUGGUGAAUUGUGGGACAUUUGAAAGAGGACAUUGACGUUGAUUAAUUUGAGACCUUUCCAUUGAAUGAACUUUGGAUGUUAUGACAGGUAUUAUAGGGAGUAAUACAGUAACACUUCUCUCCGAGGCCGCACAGGAUAAAACCAUUGUAGGCAGCACAGGAUCAAACUCUUCUAGGCAACACAAGAUCAAACUAUUCUAGGCAACACAGGAUCAAACUCUUUUAGGCAACACAGGAUCAAACCCUUCUAAGCAACACAGGAUCAAACCCUUCUAGGCAACACAGGAUCAAACUCUUCUAGGCAACACAGGAUCAAACCCUUCUAGGCAACACAGGAUCAAACUAUUCUAGGCAACACAGGAUCAAACCCUUCUAAGCAACACAGGAUCAAACCCUUCUUGGCAACACAGGAUCAAACUCUUCUAGGCAACACAGGAUCAAACUCUUCUAGGCAACACAGGAUCAAACUCUUCUAGGCAACACAGGAUCAAACCCUUCUAAGCAACACAGGAUCAAACCCUUCUUGGCAACAUAGGAUCAAACCCUUCUAGGCAACACAGGAUCAAACUCUUCUAGGCAACACAGGAUCAAACCCUUCUAGGCAACACAGGAUCAAACUAUUCUAGGCAAUACAGGAUCAAACUCUUCUAGGCAACACAGGAUCAAACUCUUCUAGGCAAUACAGGAUCAAACUCUUCUAGGCAACACAGGAUCAAACUCUUCUAGGCAACACAGGAUCAAACUCUUCUAGGCAACACAGGAUCAAACCCUUCUAAGCAACACAGGAUCAAACCCUUCUUGGCAACACAGGAUCAAACCCUUCUAGGCAACACAGGAUCAAACUCUUUUAGGCAACACAGGAUCAAACCCUUCUAGGCAACACAGGAUCAAACUCUUCUAGGCAACAUAGGAUCAAACCCUUCUAGGCAACACAGGAUCAAACCCUUCUAGGCAACACAGGAUCAAACUCGUUCAGGCAGCACACUUUUCCAAGCAGCAAAGUAUUCCUUAGAGUGAGACUAAAUGGUGUAGACGGCCCCAGUACCAAUACUGAUCAAGAUGAGAUCAAUGUUAUUACUUGAAAUGCUAAUUUCUUGAAAGCAUGAUUGGGUUUGAAUGUAUCUCAGUAAAAUGUCUUCAUAAUAAUACUAACACUGCCAGAUGCCAAUACUGUCAGAGAAUACAUUUCAGAAAAAAGUAGCCGCAUGUAUUGUAUGCAAAAGCUCUUUUCAGAACUCUCCUCCAGGUAUUGCACUCAGACUCGAGGGUUUACAGCCAGCCAUCCUAUAUGUUCCUAUUGUAGCACUGUUUCUCUUACUCUAAACAGCAUCUAUUUCCUAAAUGGUUCAGGGUGAUGGCACUGCGUCACAGACCUUAUCUAUUGAUACAUAGAGCAAUACAUUCUGCCGCUGCCAAUGUGUCACCCAGCAGCUGUAAUCUCUGGCAAGAUUCCAUUAGAGAGCCUGACCAACAUUCAUUGAAACCAACGUCGCCUAAGGGGCAUUGUGAAAGCUGUCUUCUCCAUCCUUUAUAUCAACCUCCACCUGUCAAUAAGCCUUGGUCACUAGAUCAAGGUCCACAUGUAGCUGCCUCCUUCCAGAUAGUACAGAUUGGCUCCAGUACGACAUUAGAGUUUACAAGAUACCAUGGCUGUGUCCGAAAUGGCACCCAAUCCCUAUAUAAUGCACUACUUUUGACCAGGGUCCAUAGGGCUAUUGUCAAAAGUAGUGCACUAUGUAGGGUAGUGGUUCCCAACUCCAGUCCUCCAGUACCCCCAACAGCACACAUUUUUGUUGUAGCCCGGAUAAAAAACACCUGAUUCAACUCAUUGAGGGACUGAUGAUUAGUUGAAAAGAUUAAUCUGGUGUGCUUGUCAGACUACAAUAAAAAUGUGUACUAUUGAGUGCAGGCCCGACACCAUGAGGGGGCUAAAGUUCAAACUUUAUCUUGCACAGUUUUAGGUCCCUAUAUUAAAAUAGCAAAAAAAGAAUUAAUGAUUGAUUGACAGGUUGGCGCCCCAAAAUCUGUAUCUCUGCUGCACUGUGUAGCUGUGUGUACGCAGCCUUGGCUGAUAGACUAGACGUAACAUUGUAAAUGUAAAUCUGGGACACUCAAAUCAGUAUGAUAUGUUACGUUUAGUUCGGUUGCAUAAGACAGAAGCUACAAAGUUGCAAUAUGCUGAAAUCGCUCCUCCAUUUCUUGGUUGCUAAAAUUCGAAUAGUUUGCUUAAUUUCAGUUUAUGUGACAAAACAAGCAGUCAUAGUGUAGAGAAUCAUUGUACUAUCUAAACUGCUGUGAAAUAUAUUUUCCAUAACCACAACUAUUGUAUUUUCAGCUGUUUGAAGCUGGUGUACAAAACCAAAGGUAAAAGAUGCAGAAACUAAACUUAAGAAUGGGAUGCAUAGAAAUAGUGCACAUUCUUAGACUUGCUUUCAAUGAGAAUGACAGAUCUAUAUCUCAACAUUUCUAUGUGACUUUGGGUCAGAUCACCCAAAAAAUGACAUAUUGCAGGGUUAAGAUAAAAACAUAUUGUACGAUUUGCUAAUUCAUAACAUAUCAUACGAAUUGUAAUUCGUAACAUAUCAUAUGAAAAUGGAUGAUGGACAUUCUCAAAUUAAUACAUACCAUACGAAACGUAACAUAUGGAAUGUCUAGGCUUUACGUACAGACUAACACAAAAUGCUCUGAGACCAGGUUGCAGCAGGGAGCCUAUGGAAAGCCACUGGGCGGUUAGGUAUGACUCCUUUGGGUUUCCAUAAAAAGCGGAAAAAAGGCUUCUGAUCUCUCAUCGCUGAAGUAGGUUAAGUAAAUAGCGUGAUACGCCUUCACCUGUAAUAUUUAAUUUUGAUUUAAAAGGGCAGGGUCAAGUUUACUUUUUUUACCUUUAUUUAACUAGGCAAGUCAGUUAAGAACAAAUUCUUGUUUACAAUGACGGCUUACCCCAGCCAAACCUGGACGACGCUGAGCCAAUUGUGCGCCACCCUACGGGACUCUCAAUCACGGCCGGAUGUGAUACAGCCUGGAUUCAAACCAGUGAUGCCUCUUGCACUGAGAUGCAAUGCCUUAGACCACUGCGCCACAGUUGAAGCUGCUUCACUCUUAGCUACAGCUGUAAAAAGCGUUAGUGUUAUUAUCCUUAGCCUAUUUAGCUAGCUCAAACCAGCUAAUCUGCCACGAUUGAUAUCAAAAAUUGGCAUUGACAAAGUACCAGAACAAAGGAGAAGGAAAGCGAUGAGCAGCAGCAUCAAACCACUGAGGCCGCCGCCAAGCCCAACAGCUAUGAUGCUCCCGAGCUCCAGCUAGCUCUGUGUGCAGAACCUACCCACCCUUCCACAAGCGUCAACAUAAUGCUAAUGGCUCCAUAGCCGCCUCCACCUCCGAGUGAUCCUGAUGAUCUUGGAACAAAAGAGCCAGCCCAGGUUAGCCUAGAAUCCUAUCCUAGCCGCAGGUUUUCUGUCCAAAAACCUUCAUUUAAUAGCAACUGGUUCAUAGGAAGAAAGUGGCUGGAAUACUCGUUUACUGCAGAUGCUGCAUUUUGUUUCCCAUGUCGAAAGUUCUGUAUUGGAUCCAAUGGUAACGUAGACAAGGCCUUCACCCAAGCUGGGUAUUCUAAGUGGAAGAAUGCUAUUGAUAGGACCAAAGGACAUGCUAGGCACGCAUCAAGCAAAGAGCAUUUGAAAUGCCCUGCACUGUGGAAAUAAAAACUAGUUUGAAGUGCAAUGGGAACUUCGGUGUCAACACUUGCAUGUAUUUGUCAUCGAUUGUGGACAUUAUUGAGUUCCUUUUGGGUCGUUCACAGAUACAUGAACACCCCAAAAGGAGCUAAUUUCCCACUUUGACAAACUGUGUUCAGUCAGCACAGAAGAAGCAUGCUUCACCUGAGGAAAGCUCAAUUAAUCCAACUGGCAUUUGAGGAGAAUCUUACAAGAAGAUUCCGGAGAGAAUGGAGAUUGGAGAAUGGAAUGAUCGAUUACUCAGGAAGUUUUACAGAGCAAUCAAGGCAUCUGC
RNAcentral lists this long non-coding RNA (9005 nucleotides) under Salmo salar (Atlantic salmon). RNAcentral describes it as "lncRNA (ENSSSAG00000083339.1)". Lineage: Eukaryota; Metazoa; Chordata; Actinopteri; Salmoniformes; Salmonidae. The record is from RNAcentral.